MYSSCGACGCUCUUCCGWYYYACCAAGAAUGCAUAUAUAAAUAAGCAUAAGCACUAUAUAUCUGAUAGAAACAUCUUUAAUUUUAGUAAAGGUGAUUAAAUCUUAAUUUAAAUUAUUAUAAGUAAAGUACUGUGAAGGAACACUUAUUAAUUGAUUAUUAGUAGAGAUAUUUUCUCGUACCUUUUGUAUAAUGGCUUAGCUAGAUAUUUUUCUAAAUAGAAGUUCUAGAAAGUUAAUGAGCGACUCUAUUUUUUUCUGUAGGAAAUGAGGAGUAGGUGUGGCAAAACCUUUCCAAAAACUUAGAGUAGAAAUGAAAUUUUAUUCGCAUUAAUUGAUAGCUAGUUUCCCCCUAAAGGCAUAGAAGUGCUCCUAAUUUUAUAAAAUAAUAUUGAUAAUAUUAGAUUGAAUUAUUUUAGAAUUAUACUAUUUUUCUGAGGAUUAGCUCGGAAAAUAUUUAACUAAAUGUUACAUAAAUAACCUUAAAUUAAAUUUAAGCUUGAAAGUAGCUUGUAUUUUGAGUUUGUUAUAAAUCAUUAAUAGAAUUAAAGGGAUAAUUAAUUUGUAGUAAUUUAAGGGGGAAAAUCUUAAAAAUUAUAAUAAGAUAUUUUAAUGCUGAGAUGAGUAUUAAUAAAUAUAAUCUUAAGCUAAAUGAUAUAAAAGCUAGUACUAGAAAGAUUAUAAGUAGGUAAAAUCUAUGAAAGGAACUCGGCAAAUUAAAUUUGCUCCGCCUGUUUAUCAAAAACAUGGCUCUAUGAUUCAAAUAAAUAUAGAGUCGGACCUGCCCAGUGAACAUUUUUUAACGGCCGCGGUACUCUGACCGUGCAAAGGUAGCAUAAUCAUUUGCCCUAUAAUUGAGGGCUAGUAUGAAUGGUUUGACGUGAGCAAAGCUGUCUCUCAUAGAAUAAUUAGAAUUUAACUUAUAGGUGAAGAUGCCUAUAUAACAUUGAUAGACAAGAAGACCCUAUCGAGCUUUAAAAAAAUAUUUGGAACAAAAUUGCCCUUUUGCGGACAUUUAACUAAAUUAAAUUUUGGUUGGGGCGACUGAGGAACAAAUAAAGCUUCCUUUAAUUUAUAUAUACUUUUCUAGUAAUGAUCCAGUUCUUACUGAUUAAAGAAAUUAGUUACCGUAGGGAUAACAGCAUAAUCUUUUUUGAGAGCUCAUAUCGAAAAAAAGGUUUGUGACCUCGAUGUUGGACUAGAGUUUCCUGAAGAUGUAGAAGUCUUCAAGGGUUGGUCUGUUCGACCAUUAAAACUCUACAUGAUCUGAGUUCAGACCGGCGUGAGCCAGGUCAGUUUCUAUCUUCAAUUAAUUAAUUUUAAACUUAGUACGAAAGGACCAGUUUAAAAAAAUUAUUUUUUAUAAUGAUAUAAUAUAAUAGCAAAAUAAAUU
Molecule: ribosomal RNA, 1390 nt
Filed under: Ministrombus variabilis
Lineage: Eukaryota; Metazoa; Mollusca; Gastropoda; Littorinimorpha; Strombidae
Description: 16S ribosomal RNA
Source: RNAcentral